Molecule: transfer RNA, 96 nt
Organism: Fistulina hepatica ATCC 64428
Lineage: Eukaryota; Fungi; Basidiomycota; Agaricomycetes; Agaricales; Fistulinaceae
Rfam family: tRNA
About the family: Transfer RNA (tRNA) molecules are approximately 80 nucleotides in length. Their secondary structure includes four short double-helical elements and three loops (D, anti-codon, and T loops). Further hydrogen bonds mediate the characteristic L-shaped molecular structure. tRNAs have two regions of fundamental functional importance: the anti-codon, which is responsible for specific mRNA codon recognition, and the 3' end, to which the tRNAs corresponding amino acid is attached (by aminoacyl-tRNA synthetases). tRNAs cope with the degeneracy of the genetic code in two manners: having more than one tRNA (with a specific anti-codon) for a particular amino acid; and 'wobble' base-pairing, i.e. permitting non-standard base-pairing at the 3rd anti-codon position.
Source: Rfam
GUCCCUGUCGAUUAGUGGUUAAAUCAUCUCGUUGUGGUAGGCCGUGCUACAUCCAAUGCAACCGAGAAGCCGGAAGUUCGAAUCCUCCUUGGGACA